GAGUUUGAUUCUGGCUCAGGAUGAACGCUGACAGAAUGCUUAACACAUGCAAGUCAACUUGAACGUGGGUUUUUAACUUAGGUUUGGGUGGCGGACGGGUGAGUAACGCGUAAAGAACUUGCCUCACAGAUAGGGACAACAUUUAGAAAUGAAUGCUAAUACCUAAUAUUAUGAAAAUAGGGCAUCCUAUAAUUAUGAAAGCUAAAUGCGCUGUGAGAGAGCUUUGCGUCCCAUUAGCUAGUUGGAGAGGUAACGGCUCACCAAGGCGAUGAUGGGUAGCCGGCCUGAGAGGGUGAACGGCCACAAGGGGACUGAGACACGGCCCUUACUCCUACGGGAGGCAGCAGUGGGGAAUAUUGGACAAUGGACCAAGAGUCUGAUCCAGCAAUUCUGNGUGCACGAUGAAGUUUUUCGGAAUGUAAAGUGCUUUCAGUUGGGAAGAAAAGAAUGACCGGUACCACC
This 462-nucleotide ribosomal RNA is filed under the name Fusobacterium sp. canine oral taxon 169. Its description in RNAcentral is "bacterial SSU rRNA". It matches the Rfam family "Bacterial small subunit ribosomal RNA", at positions 9 to 482 of the family's 1533-position model. The record is from RNAcentral. Lineage: Bacteria; Fusobacteriati; Fusobacteriota; Fusobacteriia; Fusobacteriales; Fusobacteriaceae.